UCCCUGGUGGUCCAGCAGCUAAGACUCUGUGCUCCUGAUGCCGAGGGCCUGGGUUCAAUCCCUGGUCAGGGAA
This 73-nucleotide transfer RNA is filed under the name Bos taurus (domestic cattle). It matches the Rfam family "tRNA". From Rfam's summary of the family: Transfer RNA (tRNA) molecules are approximately 80 nucleotides in length. Their secondary structure includes four short double-helical elements and three loops (D, anti-codon, and T loops). Further hydrogen bonds mediate the characteristic L-shaped molecular structure. tRNAs have two regions of fundamental functional importance: the anti-codon, which is responsible for specific mRNA codon recognition, and the 3' end, to which the tRNAs corresponding amino acid is attached (by aminoacyl-tRNA synthetases). tRNAs cope with the degeneracy of the genetic code in two manners: having more than one tRNA (with a specific anti-codon) for a particular amino acid; and 'wobble' base-pairing, i.e. permitting non-standard base-pairing at the 3rd anti-codon position. RNAcentral also lists the same sequence under 4 other names. The record is from Rfam by way of RNAcentral. Lineage: Eukaryota; Metazoa; Chordata; Mammalia; Artiodactyla; Bovidae.